GUAGGCGUUAUCAGUCGCUAUAAGCCCCAUAGAUGUGGGUGAAUAGGGGCCUACUACACCCACUAGUAGGUUUUAUUAUCUAGUCACAUGGUAAAUCACCGAAAGAAGAUACAAAAGAACAUGACAGUGACCGUAGUAAUUAUGACAGGGGCAGAAGUGGAAGGCAGGCGCUGUUGUAUAGUCAGUGUGAGACUCCAUAAAUGUGU
Molecule: long non-coding RNA, 206 nt
Organism: Sebastes umbrosus (honeycomb rockfish)
Lineage: Eukaryota; Metazoa; Chordata; Actinopteri; Perciformes; Sebastidae
Exons: 3
Source: RefSeq, a predicted model, not a curated record